CAAGCGGUGGAUGAUGUGGUUUAAUUCGAUGCAACGCGAAAAACCUUACCCACCUUUGACAUGUACGGAAUUCGCCAGAGAUGGCUUAGUGCUCGAAAGAGAACCGUAACACAGGUGCUGCAUGGCUGUCGUCAGCUCGUGUCGUGAGAUGUUGGGUUAAGUCCCGCAACGAGCGCAACCCUUGUCAUUAGUUGCUACAUUCAGUUGGGCACUCUAAUGAGACUGCCGGUGACAAACCGGAGGAAGGUGGGGAUGACGUCAAGUCCUCAUGGCCCUUAUAGGUGGGGCUACACACGUCAUACAAUGGCUGGUACAAAGGGUUGCCAACCCGCGAGGGGGAGCUAAUCCCAUAAAACCAGUCGUAGUCCGGAUCGCAGUCUGCAACUCGACUGCGUGAAGUCGGAAUCGCUAGUAAUCGUGGAUCAGAAUGUCACGGUGAAUACGUUCCCGGGUCUUGUACACACCGCCCGUCACACCAUGGGAGCGGGUUCUGCCAGAAGUAGUUAGCCUAACCGCAAGGAGGGCGAUUACCACGGCAGGGUUCGUGACUGGGGUGAAGUCGUAACAAGGUAGCCGUAUCGGAAGGUGCGGCUGGAUCACCUCCUU
Molecule: ribosomal RNA, 606 nt
Filed under: uncultured bacterium
Lineage: Bacteria
Description: bacterial SSU rRNA
Rfam family: Bacterial small subunit ribosomal RNA
Source: RNAcentral